AUACAUGCAAGUYGAGCGGACGGAUGGGAGCUUGCUCCCUGAAGUCAGCGGCGGACGGGUGAGUAACACGUGGGCAACCUGCCUGUAAGACUGGGAUAACUUCGGGAAACCGGAGCUAAUACCGGAUAAUGCAUUUCCCCUCAUGGGGRUAUGCUGAAAGAUGGUUUCGGCUAUCACUUACAGAUGGGCCCGCGGCGCAUUAGCUAGUUGGUGAGGUAACGGCUCACCAAGGCAACGAUGCGUAGCCGACCUGAGAGGGUGAUCGGCCACACUGGGACUGANACACGGCCCAAACUCCUACGGGAGGCAGCAGUAGGGAAUCUUCCGCAAUGGACGAAAGUCUGACGGAGCAACSCCGCGUGAGUGAUGAAGGUUUUCGGAUCGUAAAACUCUGUUGUCAGGGAAGAACAAGUGCCGGAGUAACUGCCGGCACCUUGACGGUACCUGACCAGAAAGCCACGGCUAACUACGUGCCAGCAGCCGCGGUAAUACGUAGGUGGCAAGCGUUGUCCGGAAUUAUUGGGCGUAAAGCGCGCGCAGGCGGUCUCUUAAGUCUGAUGUGAAAGCCCACGGCUCAACCGUGGAGGGUCAUUGGAAACUGGGGGACUUGAGUGCAGAAGAGGAAAGUGGAAUUCCACGUGUAGCGGUGAAAUGCGUAGAGAUGUGGAGGAACACCAGUGGCGAAGGCGACUUUCUGGUCUGUAACUGACGCU
Molecule: ribosomal RNA, 713 nt
Filed under: Bacillus sp. SP13
Lineage: Bacteria; Bacillati; Bacillota; Bacilli; Caryophanales; Bacillaceae
Description: bacterial SSU rRNA
Rfam family: Bacterial small subunit ribosomal RNA
Source: RNAcentral